Bos taurus (domestic cattle) is the source of this 1333-nucleotide long non-coding RNA. NCBI's taxonomy places the organism in Eukaryota, Metazoa, Chordata, Mammalia, Artiodactyla, Bovidae. The record is from Ensembl.
GCUGGAGGUCGGGCAGGGGCGGGAGGAGCCUGGCAACAGGACCCUGGCCUCUCGGAGCUGGGAGAGCCCGCCCUGCAGGUCUGCGGGGGAGGAGGGGCUGCGGCAACGGCCGCUUGCUCCCCCAUCCCCAGUGGAGAGAGCACACACGGGCAUUUUCGCCUGCGUUCAGGCUGCUCGGUGUUGGGUUGGUUUUAUCCGUGUUGUCAGAGGGACGGUGGGGAGGAGAGUGGACGGACUCGCUGGGGUCUGGGCUUUGCUGGCGUGUCCUGACGGCGGUGCCCGUUGGUCCCCGUCCCUCGUCUGCACCCUCUUGGCCUCCCCUGCUCGUCCUGUGGGGCCCAGCAGCCCAGCCCUGUGUAGCCGGCAGGGGUGGUUCGUGACUUAACAGCCUGUGGGCCUGGCACGGAGUAAGGGUGACUGAGUAUUAAAUGCUAACCCUUGUGAAGUAAGGCACUUCCAGCUAACUCUGAGAUUGUGGACAUUUGAACGUGUGCGCAAAGGAAGCUUCCCUGCCUGCAUUCAGACCAGACCACACGGCCAUCAUUUUCAACCCCCUGCCACUUAGGUAGUGGUGACCCUGGAAACGUUCCCUGGGGGCCUCAUAGUAUUUGUGAAGCUGCUGCUUGGCAAGUGACUUUCAGAGGAAGCAUUUUAAGAAGAUUAAGAGCCGCAGGCUUGCAGGGCAGCAGUGUGAUUCCUGCUAUUUUCAGGGCACCGACAGUGUUCCCCUCACACCCGGGUCGGCAGUAGCGCCGAGACACAGCCCGGACACUCGACACGGAUGUGACGCCCAGAAGUGCGGACGGUGGUCUGUCUGGGUCCUCUGUUGAGCUUGCUCAUCUUGGGGAUUUCACUGGCAGUGAGGGAAGCCACAUUCCUGAACCAGUGCCCGAGAGGCUCUUUAUUGUGCUGCCUUCAAGAAGUACCUUCCAGCCUGGGAUUCUCUGUCAGCUGGUUUGCAGUUUUUGGAGUUUGCUGAAGGGUCUCUCCUGGGGCUUCACCCUUGAAUCCUGGAGUCCGUUGAAUUAGUUGGUGACCAAAUUCUUCCCACUGGAAAGAAAGGAAGGUCUUGAGCGCAAAAUCCAUAACAGACCCUUAGAUAAAGAGGGAUUGGAAGAGAGUGGAUUCGGGUCCAGAUGUCAUGGUUGAUGAGAUUUUACAUACAGAUUUUCCUGUACAGUUUUAGACAAACAACAUUUUACUCACCAUUUUAGGAAAACACAUUUAUCCAAAAGAGGAGGUGAUUUUUGGUUUGGAAAGAGGAGUGUUUUUCCAUCAGUUAUUUUGAGGGGAGGGGUUUGGGGAUGAACUUGGGAUGUGGACGCUGGGGGGA